AUGAACGCUGGCGGCGUGCCUCAUCCAUGCAAGUCGAGCGAACAGACGAGGAGCUUGCUCCUCUGACGUUAGCGGCGGACGGGUGAGUAACACGUGGAUAACCUACCUAUAAGACUGGGAUAACUUCGGGAAACCGGAGCUAAUACCGGAUAAUAUAUUGAACCGCAUGGUUCAAUAGUGAAAGACGGUUUUGCUGUCACUUAUAGAUGGAUCCGCGCCGCAUUAGCUAGUUGGUAAGGUAACGGCUUACCAAGGCAACGAUGCGUAGCCGACCUGAGAGGGUGAUCGGCCACACUGGAACUGGGACACGGUCCAGACUCCUACGGGAGGCAGCAGUAGGGAAUCUUCCGCAAUGGGCGAAAGCCUGACGGAGCAACGCCGCGUGAGUGAUGAAGGUCUUCGGAUCGUAAAACUCUGUUAUUAGGGAAGAACAAAUGUGUAAGUAACUAUGCACGUCUUGACGGUACCUAAUCAGAAAGCCACGGCUAACUACGUG
Molecule: ribosomal RNA, 496 nt
Filed under: uncultured bacterium
Lineage: Bacteria
Description: partial 16S ribosomal RNA
Rfam family: Bacterial small subunit ribosomal RNA
Source: RNAcentral